GAUUCCGAAGAUGACCAAAUCAUGCAUACUCUUGCGGGUUUAGGCACUGAGUAUGACUCUGUCAUGGUCACCAUUACUUCAAAACCAGAAGCUUGGACCAUUGGUGAUGUGAGCUCGUUGUUGCUGAGUUUUGAAA
Salvia miltiorrhiza (redroot sage) is the source of this 136-nucleotide small nucleolar RNA. RefSeq annotates it as small nucleolar RNA Z247. The record is from RefSeq and is a predicted model, not a curated record. NCBI's taxonomy places the organism in Eukaryota, Viridiplantae, Streptophyta, Magnoliopsida, Lamiales, Lamiaceae. The transcript has a single exon.